This 756-nucleotide ribosomal RNA is filed under the name Dietzia sp. MJ624. RNAcentral's name for it is "bacterial SSU rRNA". It matches the Rfam family "Bacterial small subunit ribosomal RNA", at positions 75 to 845 of the family's 1533-position model. The record is from RNAcentral. Lineage: Bacteria; Bacillati; Actinomycetota; Actinomycetes; Mycobacteriales; Dietziaceae.
GCCCUUCGGGGUACACGAGUGGCGAACGGGUGAGUAACACGUGGGUAAUCUGCCCUGCACUUCGGGAUAAGCCUGGGAAACCGGGUCUAAUACCGGAUAUUCAGUUCCUGCCGCAUGGUGGGGGUUGGAAAGUUUUUCGGUGCAGGAUGAGCCCGCGGCCUAUCAGCUUGUUGGUGGGGUAAUGGCCUACCAAGGCGACGACGGGUAGCCGGCCUGAGAGGGUGAUCGGCCACACUGGGACUGAGACACGGCCCAGACUCCUACGGGAGGCAGCAGUGGGGAAUAUUGCACAAUGGGCGAAAGCCUGAUGCAGCGACGCCGCGUGGGGGAUGACGGUCUUCGGAUUGUAAACCCCUUUCAGUAGGGACGAAGCGCAAGUGACGGUACCUGCAGAAGAAGCACCGGCCAACUACGUGCCAGCAGCCGCGGUAAUACGUAGGGUGCGAGCGUUGUCCGGAAUUACUGGGCGUAAAGAGCUCGUAGGCGGUUUGUCGCGUCGUCCGUGAAAACUCGGAGCUUAACUCCGAGCUUGCGGGCGAUACGGGCAGACUUGAGUACUACAGGGGAGACUGGAAUUCCUGGUGUAGCGGUGAAAUGCGCAGAUAUCAGGAGGAACACCGGUGGCGAAGGCGGGUCUCUGGGUAGUAACUGACGCUGAGGAGCGAAAGCAUGGGUAGCGAACAGGAUUAGAUACCCUGGUAGUCCAUGCCGUAAACGGUGGGCGCUAGGGUGUGGGGUCCUUCCACGGAUUCCGUG